Molecule: ribosomal RNA, 579 nt
Filed under: uncultured Stenotrophomonas sp.
Lineage: Bacteria; Pseudomonadati; Pseudomonadota; Gammaproteobacteria; Lysobacterales; Lysobacteraceae
Description: bacterial SSU rRNA
Rfam family: Bacterial small subunit ribosomal RNA
Source: RNAcentral
ACGGGUGAGGAAUACAUCGGAAUCUACUCUGUCGUGGGGGAUAACGUAGGGAAACUUACGCUAAUACCGCAUACGACCUACGGGUGAAAGCAGGGGAUCUUCGGACCUUGCGCGAUUGAAUGAGCCGAUGUCGGAUUAGCUAGUUGGCGGGGUAAAGGCCCACCAAGGCGACGAUCCGUAGCUGGUCUGAGAGGAUGAUCAGCCACACUGGAACUGAGACACGGUCCAGACUCCUACGGGAGGCAGCAGUGGGGAAUAUUGGACAAUGGGCGCAAGCCUGAUCCAGCCAUACCGCGUGGGUGAAGAAGGCCUUCGGGUUGUAAAGCCCUUUUGUUGGGAAAGAAAUCCAGCUGGCUAAUACCCGGUUGGGAUGACGGUACCCAAAGAAUAAACACCGGCUAACUUCGUGCCAGCAGCCGCGGUAAUACGAAGGGUGCAAGCGUUACUCGGAAUUACUGGGCGUAAAGCGUGCGUAGGUGGUCGUUUAAGUCCGUUGUGAAAGCCCUGGGCUCAACCUGGGAACUGCAGUGGAUACUGGGCGACUAGAGUGUGGUAGAGGGUAGCGGAAUUCCUGGUGUA